Molecule: ribosomal RNA, 253 nt
Filed under: uncultured bacterium
Lineage: Bacteria
Description: partial 16S ribosomal RNA
Rfam family: Bacterial small subunit ribosomal RNA
Source: RNAcentral
UACGUAGGGUGCAAGCGUUAAUCGGAAUUACUGGGCGUAAAGCGUGCGCAGGCGGUUGUGCAAGACAGAUGUGAAAUCCCCGGGCUCAACCUGGGAACUGCAUUUGUGACUGCACGGCUGGAGUGCGGCAGAGGGGGAUGGAAUUCCGCGUGUAGCAGUGAAAUGCGUAGAUAUGCGGAGGAACACCAAUGGCGAAGGCAAUCCCCUGGGCCUGCACUGACGCUCAUGCACGAAAGCGUGGGGAUCAAACAGG